RNAcentral lists this small nuclear RNA (90 nucleotides) under Sorex araneus (European shrew). The record is from RNAcentral. Lineage: Eukaryota; Metazoa; Chordata; Mammalia; Eulipotyphla; Soricidae.
UUUGCGAAAGAAUUUGGAACAAUACAGAGAAGAUCAGUAUGGCCCCUGUGCAAGGAUUACACGCAAAUUCAUGAAAUACCUGGAAAUUAA